Long non-coding RNA from Homo sapiens (human), 2367 nucleotides. RefSeq lists it as uncharacterized. The transcript is spliced from 2 exons. Lineage: Eukaryota; Metazoa; Chordata; Mammalia; Primates; Hominidae. The record is from RefSeq and is a predicted model, not a curated record.
CCCAAUGUGCUGGGAUUGCAGUCAUGAGCCACUGUGCCCAGCCCACUUUCACUAUUGAGAAGAAAGGAAGAACCAGAGAAUGAAAACCAGUGCAUCGGGAGACCUGAAGACGAGCAUGUCGGCUCCCUGCUCUCGUGGAGCCUCUAUGGGUCAGGUUUUGCAAUUAUCCACAAUAACCAGCCUUGAGUAUCCAUGACGCUUCACCCCAGGAGAACUCAUGCCUCUGCCUGUGGAAGGACACAGAGGACCUCAGUGGGGAUGGAAGAAGGGCCUUCUCCUUGUCACCAGCUCCCAGGACUGAAUACUGACUGCUGUCUUGGGGAGAAGGGACUGGAUGGUGCUUUGGACCUCACUAGCCCCCAUCUGGAUCUUUAUGGCUGGGCCCAUAGAGCACGACCAUGACAUCUGGAGACAGCUGUGCUAAUGCCCUUCAGACAAAGACCACCAGGAACCCCCUGUAACUGAACCAGUUGGGUUUAUGACUCUUCUCGGCAAAGAAGCACGCACACCGUGGGGGACUGCGGGGCCGCUCAGUGAAAGGAGAUUGGAAAGGAGUUACAGGAUUUGGGCUUUGCUGGGUGAAUCUGGCGUACACUGAUGUCCGGAGACAGCGGAAACAGCCAUGUCUAUCACAGAAGCCCAAGGUCACACAACCGUGACCCACCUGCCCGGGGGCGAGGCUGAGCCAGUGCAGAUAGCCGGAUGCUCCUCACAGGUCCGCAGGAAGGACAGGGGCCGGCGCUGCCCAGGCUGUGCCACGUCCAGUGCGUGAGAAGCUCCCGCUUGAGUCACCACGUCUGUCCCGACAGAGGUACGACCUCCUCCUUUCCCUGACACAGGGAGUAUGGGAGGCAAAGCCAUACUCGUGGGAGAACUCUCCAAGUCCACAGUGAGCAGGACGCAGAUUCUCCCCGUAUUUCCACCAGAUUCACCCUCCAUUUCCACCAGACUCGCCCUUCUUUCCCAACCAACCACCCUCCAUCCCCACCCUUCACACCCACUCACCCCCAUUCCCACCCACUUACCCCCCAUCCUCACCCUCUCACCCUCCAUCCCCCCGCACUCACUCUUGUCCCAUCCACUCACCCCGCAUCCCCCACCCCCACUAGGUCCUUUCCAGCCUCCCCCGCCAUAAAACUGUGCGCCCUGAAAGAUCGCUCCUCGCCUCAGGGACUCCUCCCUCCACUCGUGCGCCGUGGCUGCCCUGACUUGGUGCCGCGGAGAUCCAUCCUCAAGCAAACACCAGGGAACUUGUGGGCCGUUCUCCUGGGCUGCAGUCUUCUCCUGUCUCUGUCUCCUCCUCUGAUGCCUCUUCCUCAGGAGGUGGCCGUCACCCACAGCUUCACAAUGGCAUUUCCCCUCAGAGCACUGAUCCUCCGUCUGCUGCGGCAGCUACCAGGUCGCCUCUCUUCAUUUUUUAAGUCCACGUCACCCCCCUCUUGUCCCGUGCAGGUACCCCUCUUAUGCCCUACACCACAGACUGCACUGCACCGCUGUCUCCACCAAAAGCAGGGAACCUCUGCUAUCCAGGACCUGUGGAAAAUUAGGCUCGAUUUCAAUGAAUGUUUCCAUACCGAUUAUAAGCUCCUUAGGGCAGGAAAUUUUGUUCAACUCUCUGUCCCCUUGAGACCCUGCUUGAUAAAUGGCUCAUGGCAAGCACUCUUACCGUGGAAUUCGAUUUCCAGGCUUUUCUGAAUGACUCAGGAUUUUACCUCCAGAAGCAAAGCUUCUGAACACCCAUUUUGUAGGCCGGUCUUUGUGGAAACAUUUUCACUCCCUCCCCUGUCCUCUGUAGCGGAGAACUCUGACAUCUCAGAACAUGGCCGCUUCUCUCUUUCCUGCUCAGAGGAGCUGUUUACAAAGUGUGGGGUAGAGUUAGGAAACCCAGGAGGAAUGGCAGAGCGCUCCGCCUGCAUCCCUGAGGGCGGGCGUGGGGCUGCUGUCGACCCCCAGAGAGAGUGCUCGCCGCCCUUGGUCCCCCGGGUCUGGGCGGUGCUGUUGGUAAGGACUGCAGCCAACCCCCAGGGACCUGGCAGGAGAAGAUACCUGCCCUGCCCUUCUGCUAGGGCCACCAGCAUCGGCCAGACCUAACCAAAGACGUGGAGUCUCCAGGCAGUCUAUAAAAACCAGCUCCCAUGGCCCGGGGCAGGGCAAAGAGUCAGUCUGGAGGGGAGAACUGAAGACAACUGGCACUGCUACCGUGCUGAGAUGCCUCGGGGACUUGUCUUACUCGCCGCCAAGCACUUGGCCCCUGCACCAAAUGGCCCCCAAACUGUGGCCUUUUAAAAUUUGUGUGUCCACUUCUCACAGUUUCCUCUCUCUUCAUGCAUAUGAAAAUAAAACUAUUUUAUGUAUCUAGGACUUGGA